RNAcentral lists this ribosomal RNA (465 nucleotides) under uncultured bacterium. Its description in RNAcentral is "partial 16S ribosomal RNA". It matches the Rfam family "Bacterial small subunit ribosomal RNA", at positions 338 to 795 of the family's 1533-position model. The record is from RNAcentral.
CCUACGGGAGGCAGCAGUGGGGAAUUUUGCGCACUGCUCGUAAGAGUGACGCAGCGACGCCGCGUGAAUGACGAAGGCCUUCGGGUCGUAAAGUUCUUUCGACAGGGAAGAAAAUGCCUAUAAGUAACUGUGUAUGUAUUGACGGUACCUGUAUAAGCAGCCCCGGCUAACUCCGUGCCAGCAGCCGCGGUAAUACGGAGGGGGCGAGCGUUGUUCGGAGUGACUGGGCGUAAAGCGCACGUAGGCGGUGUUGUAAGUCAUUAGUCAAAGACUAGAGCUCAACGUUAGUAAGGCUAGUGAUACUAUAAUACGAGAGUAUCAGAGAGGAUUGCAGAAAUCCUGGUGUAGCGGUGAAAUGCGUAGAUAUCAGGAGGAAUACCGUUAGCGAAGGCGGCAAUCUGGCUGGAAACUGACGCUGAGGUGCGAAAGCGUGGGUAGCAAACAGGAUUAGAUACCCCAGUAGUC